UCGGAUUGUAAACUCCUGUCGUUAGGGACGAUAAUGACGGUACCUAACAAGAAAGCACCGGCUAACUACGUGCCAGCAGCCGCGGCAAAACGUAGGGUGCAAGCGUUGUCCGGAAUUACUGGGUGUAAAGGGAGCGCAGGCGGGAAGACAAGUUGGAAGUGAAAACCAUGGGCUCAACCCAUGAAUUGCUUUCAAAACUGUUUUUCUUGAGUAGUGCAGAGGUAGAUGGAAUUCCCGGUGUAGCGGUGGAAUGCGUAGAUAUCGGGAGGAACACCAGUGGCGAAGGCGGUCUACUGGGCACCAACUGACGCUGAGGCUCGAAAGCAUGGGUAGCAAACAGGAUUAGAUACCCUGGUAGUCCAUGCCGUAAACGAUGAUUACUAGGUGUUGGGGGAUCGACCCCCUCAGUGCCGCAGUUAACACAAUAAGUAAUCCACCUGGGGAGUAAGACCGCAAGGUUGCAACUCAAAUGAAUUGACGGUUUA
Molecule: ribosomal RNA, 485 nt
Filed under: uncultured organism
Description: bacterial SSU rRNA
Rfam family: Bacterial small subunit ribosomal RNA
Source: RNAcentral